AUUGAACGCUGGCGGCAGGCUUAACACAUGCAAGUCGAGCGGGGGAAGGUAGCUUGCUACUGGACCUAGCGGCGGACGGGUGAGUAAUGCUUAGGAAUCUGCCUAUUAGUGGGGGACAACAUCUCGAAAGGGAUGCUAAUACCGCAUACGUCCUACGGGAGUAAGCAGGGGAUCUUCGGACCUUGCGCUAAUAGAUGAGCCUAAGUCGGAUUAGCUAGUUGGUGGGGUAAAGGCCUACCAAGGCGACGAUCUGUAGCGGGUCUGAGAGGAUGAUCCGCCACACUGGGACUGAGACACGGCCCAGACUCCUACGGGAGGCAGCAGUGGGGAAUAUUGGACAAUGGGGGGAACCCUGAUCCAGCCAUGCCGCGUGUGUGAAGAAGGCCUUAUGGUUGUAAAGCACUUUAAGCGAGGAGGAGGCUACUUUAGUUAAUACCUAGAGAUAGUGGACGUUACUCGCAGAAUAAGCACCGGCUAACUCUGUGCCAGCAGCCGCGGUAA
This 501-nucleotide ribosomal RNA is filed under the name uncultured bacterium. RNAcentral's name for it is "partial 16S ribosomal RNA". It matches the Rfam family "Bacterial small subunit ribosomal RNA", at positions 30 to 523 of the family's 1533-position model. The record is from RNAcentral.